This is a long non-coding RNA of Patella vulgata (common limpet), 1315 nucleotides long. RefSeq lists it as uncharacterized. The record is from RefSeq and is a predicted model, not a curated record. NCBI's taxonomy places the organism in Eukaryota, Metazoa, Mollusca, Gastropoda, Patellidae. The transcript is spliced from 5 exons.
CAUCUUCGUCAGUAUCCUAUCUACUCCCACCGGCUUCCUGGUGCUGUUAAAGCAUUUAAGCUUGGUAAAAGAACUCUGCUGUUCGUGGCUGACGAAGGUGUUAUGAACACCUAUACAUCAGAGAAACAUGGUUUUAAUUUUGAACAUGCUGCUCGUGCUGAUCAACUUGCUGCGGGUGGAAGAUUUGAUACGGUCAGUAUUGACAACGCUACUCUUAUAUCACAUCUAUCCCAAGAUAGUCAUUUAGGUCGUCUGCACGUGAGUCAGAUUGAUGGCAUAUCUCAGUUUACAGGGCGUAUUGAUAAGAUUAAUACAUUUGGAGGACGUGGAUUCUCCAUUUAUGAUGCUUCCAACUUGCAACUGCUAUUUGAUAGUGGUGAUCAUUUAGAAAAAGUGGCUGCUACUACUAAAUUCUAUAACGUCUUCAAUACCGACAUUAGUGGUAUUGAUCAAAACUCUCCAGAAUCAUUAAAAGACUCAACUUCGGACGAUAUGGGACCGGUUGUAAAUUCUCUAGAUGUAGCUAGUGAUAAUGGUACUAACUAUUUAGUAGUGUCAGCCCAGAAUACAGGAAUACUCUAUCUCUACACAUUCAAGGCUACCAGCUCGGGAGUCAAUGUUUAUUUUGAGAACGCCUACAGACGAGGAAGUCAGUCGGAACUCUUCGCCAAUUCAUAUCUACAAGAUGACGUUGGUGAUGGAUAUAUCAGUGACGUCAGAAUAAUUCCUGCUUCAAAGAGUCCAAGUAAUAAAACAGUCGUCAUGGUUGCCUCCCAAGCUUCCGGUUCUAUUUCAUUUUAUCGGAUUGAGGUUAACAAUGUAGAUAAUGUCCCAGUCGUUGGAUGAAUUGUCAAAAAUGGUUUGACAUCCUUGAUUAAGAAGAGAUGGUUCAAAAUUGAAGAUUUGUUUAAACUUGAAACUGUAAAAAUAUAGUAUAAUUAUGGUAGCUGAAAAUAUGUCCUCAAAAGAUACGAAGUUUGUCGCAAUUUCGCCUUCACGUUUCGGUCGUAUACGGCAAACAUAAGAGAAAGUGUCAACGAUACGAAGCGCUCUUAGCUUCGAAUAUUUGACGUUUGCCUUAUGUUUUGCUUUAUUUAUAUCCUUGCUGUAACGUGAAGACGAAGAUGCGAUAACCAUACACAGAAGGCGAAUAUUAUAAGAAAUGGAGGUUUUCAGCCACUGUAACAUAAUCUUUGCAGAUGUUGUUCCAGCCGAGUCUUUUUAAUCAAAUAUAUAAACUACGAUACAGAAACUUAUAGUAAACACACAACCCACCAUAUUGUGUAACUUUAUAAAGAGAAAUGAUACAAUUGUA